RNAcentral lists this ribosomal RNA (403 nucleotides) under uncultured eukaryote. Its description in RNAcentral is "bacterial SSU rRNA". It matches the Rfam family "Eukaryotic small subunit ribosomal RNA", at positions 745 to 1120 of the family's 1831-position model. The record is from RNAcentral.
AGUUCAUUUACUUUGAGAAAAUUAGAGUGUUUAAAGCAGCCUCUUGGGGCACUGAAUACAUUAGCAGUGGAUAAUAAAUAGGAUCUUCAACAAAAUUAUUUUAUUGGUUUAAAUUGGAUAUGAAGAUAAUGAUUAAUAGGGACAGGUUGGGGGUAUUCAUAUUGGGUGGUUAGCGGUGAAAUGCUCGGAUCCAUUCAAGAUGAACUAAAGCGAAAGCAUUUACCAAGGAUGUUUUCAUUAAUCAAGAACGAAAGUUAAGGGGAUCGAAGACGAUUAGAUACCGUCGUAGUCUUAACUAUAAACUAUGCCGACCAGGGAUAUGAGUUGUUAGGAUUAUAUGAAAGUAUAAUCAAUUUCUUCUUAUGAACCUUGUGAGAAAUCAUAAGUUUUUGGGUUCUGGGGG